CAGAGGAGGAAUGCUGAACUGACAGCUGGAUAUGUGACUGGUGCCAGUGAGCGCGUCAGCCUGUUCUUCUAACCAACGGAUAUUCCCCUGAAAGUUUCCCUUAACGGGUCUCGAAACUGACUGCAAAUGCCCAUGGUUUUCCAGCGCAAAGAAACAGCCAGCGACGACAUCGACACUAUCCAAAACAGCGGAAAGAAACAAUCAACUUUGUUGAGGAGGCGUCAGUACUUCACUCAGCAAAAGACCUUAACAUUAACAUAGUAUAUGAAGUGUACAAGUGACCCUUCUUAAGUGAGUUUUACAUUACAUUUAGAUUACCGAUAAAUGUUGCUGUCUCUGAGCUGUUCAGUCACUUCAUCCUCUCACAAUAGCCCAAGCAAUUUCUUCCACAGAGACGUUGUUCACAUAACAUGAACCUGCUCUGCGUCCUAUUGACAAAUCUCUCAUUAUCCACUGAUAUUGCCGCUACGUCCACCACUCCAUUGCACAGCGCACUGGUGUUCGGUACCUCCAGUGACAUCACAGUCACCCAGCCCCGGUUUGUUUCGUCUUAUGAUCAUAUUUAGUAUUAAGUAAAACCUACGGCUGUCUUCCGUGUGUAAGGUCUGAAAAUGAAAAUGUGUUCAUGUUUUAAGCAUAUUAUUUGUGUCAUUCUAACAAACUACGUUAAAUGCGAUGUCCUUUGUCAUGUGUGGUCCCUUAUUUUUAACUGCUUUACUAGUUUGAAUCCACAUUCAGAUAGGAACAGCCAGUCUAACUUCAUGGAAUCCUGAACCUCCCGUGCGCCGAUGACUGAAAGAUCCCACGACCUUGUAACAUCUUCUUUAUCAAAGCCGACAUCUUUUAUUCCGACCGUCAAGGGUGCAUGAUGAAAGUAUUGUCAUAAUCAAGACAUCUAAAGAAAAAUUCCAUUGUGGCUGCCAUUGCCUUUUCAGCCUCAUGGCAUGUUGAGGAAACAACUUUUCAUAAGCUGCGAGAGAAUGACGGAUGAGCGCAACGUUUGCAAUAGUGAGACAGAUGCAAUCUUGUAAAUUGAGCAAAGACUCUCUGAUCUCCCUGAGGAGAUAUCAAACCAUAGUCUUACAUCGGAACUCACCAUGCUCCUGUGUUUUUGUCACAACAAGAAAAGCAUCACAGACGGAUGAGCCCCACUGUGUACGGUGUGUACAACCGGCUGUUUGGGCUAAUAGCUGUGAAUCAUCCGGGACAUUAUCUGGAUUUGCAGCGCUAUCAUAGAAGGUGAACGUGGCGGAUGCUCCCACGCGAGUCCAUCACCGUCAGCAUUAGGUCGUUGGUGUCGUUGUGUGGCCUCGUCCAAAUGUGAUGCGGAGGACAGAUCUGGGUCAUGUUCACAUCUCGCAGAGGAAAAGAAAGGCAUGACAGUACAAAGGGAAGUAGAAAGUCAGAAAGUAUGCUCUUGACUGGCUUCAGCUGUCAAUCAACAGCAAGCAGGAAAUGAGGUUUGUGGUUGGCUGGUCUCACCAGUACAUGGAAGGGCAAGCUGACGUUUUCAAGUGCCUCACCAUGCAGAACAAGAGGGUAGAAUCUAUAGAGUUGGUUUAGCAGUAUGAAGGCAGGCAUGGCAGGAUCUCCCAUGCUUACUUCUAUGAUUUUUUGAUUGAAAGACACUAUGGAAGACUAUGGAAGAUUUAAAGACACUAUGGAAGAAUUAUUUAUUUUAAAACAUGCUGCACAUGCUAAAUGUAAUGCAAGAGCUUUUAUAUAUGUUAAAUUUGUUAUCAUUUUCCAGUACAUUGUCUGUCUUGCUGUGAUGUAAAUAGUAAUAAUGAAUUGUUAAAAUGGUAAGUAAGGUUUCUUUUCAAUUUAUAAGGGGCUUUAUAAGGGGAGUUAUUGGCAGAGGUUGACAGGUAUGUCCAUGUGCCAUCAAACAGAAAUAAGUAGAUCAAGUUUUCCUGUAACACAGUGUAACAAGUGGCUUCUUCAAAAGAGAAUCAAAGAAUCUCCUCAUGAAUGUGGUGCAGUGGUGUCCAUCCAGCGCUGAUCCAGGGCCCAGCUUGUCAUCGCUGGGCCACCACGAGGCUCGCUGAGGAGAGACUCUAAGUUUUGAGAUCAAAGAGAAGGGAAACAGGACAGUUUUGAAGAUUGUAUAACAGCCAGGCCUUCGCCAAAAACAUUGUGGACACCUCAGAAAGCUGAACAAAAUCAACCCUCUUCAUUGAGCAAGCGGAACAGAAGGGCAAUGACUACUGGAACCUCCAUGUGGUCCUCUCGAGACUGAGGAGUCUCAGAGCAGUCCUUCCUGGCAACAAUCCUCAUUUGGACCGGCUCACAUCUAACGCUGGCCCGUUGACAAUAACUAAGAUUAAAGCAAUCUUAACUGUCUGUCU
This is a long non-coding RNA of Synchiropus splendidus (mandarinfish), 2348 nucleotides long. RefSeq lists it as uncharacterized. The record is from RefSeq and is a predicted model, not a curated record. The transcript has 4 exons. NCBI's taxonomy places the organism in Eukaryota, Metazoa, Chordata, Actinopteri, Syngnathiformes, Callionymidae.